GCCCGCGUAGCUCAGGGGAUAGAGCGACUGCCUCCUAAGCAGUAGGUCGCAGGUUCGAAUCCUGCCGCGGGCG
RNAcentral lists this transfer RNA (73 nucleotides) under Acidimicrobiia bacterium. RNAcentral describes it as "tRNA-Arg". It matches the Rfam family "tRNA". From Rfam's summary of the family: Transfer RNA (tRNA) molecules are approximately 80 nucleotides in length. Their secondary structure includes four short double-helical elements and three loops (D, anti-codon, and T loops). Further hydrogen bonds mediate the characteristic L-shaped molecular structure. tRNAs have two regions of fundamental functional importance: the anti-codon, which is responsible for specific mRNA codon recognition, and the 3' end, to which the tRNAs corresponding amino acid is attached (by aminoacyl-tRNA synthetases). tRNAs cope with the degeneracy of the genetic code in two manners: having more than one tRNA (with a specific anti-codon) for a particular amino acid; and 'wobble' base-pairing, i.e. permitting non-standard base-pairing at the 3rd anti-codon position. Lineage: Bacteria; Bacillati; Actinomycetota; Acidimicrobiia. The record is from RNAcentral.